UUCCGGUUGAUCCUGCCGGAGGCGACCGCUGUGGGAGUCCGAUUAAGCCAUGCGAGUCGAGAGUCUUAGGGACUCGGCAUACCGCUCAGUAACACGUGGAUAACCUGCCCUGUGCUGGGGGAUAACCUCGCGAAAGUGAGAACAAUACCCCAUGAGUCACUACGCCUGGAACGGUGAGUGGCUGAAAGCUCCGGCGGCACAGGAUGGGUCUGCGGCGUAUCAGGUUGUAGGGGGUGUAACGGACCUCCUAGCCUUCAACGCGUACGGGUUGUGAGAGCAAUUGCCCGGAGAUGGAUUCUGAGACACGAAUCCAGGCCCUACGGGGCGCAGCAGGCGCGAAAACUUGACAAUGCGAGAAAUCGUGAUCAGGGGACUCCAGUUGGCUGGAUCAAAAGUCCAGUCUGAACCGACUUUAAAUCGGUCGGGUAAUAGGGGCGGGAAAGACCGGUGCCAGCCGCCGCGGUAAUACCGGCGCCCCAAGUGGUCGUCACUAUUAUUGGGCCUAAAACGUCCGUAGCCGGUUUGGUAAAUCCGUGGGUAAAUCAGACAGCCCAACUGUCUGAAUUCUGCGGGGACUGCCAGACUUGAGACCGGGAGAGGUACGGGGUACCUCCGGGGUAGCGGUAAAAUGCGAUCAUCCCGGAGGGACCACCUGUUGCGAAGGCGCCGUACUAGAACGGAUCUGACGGUCAGGGACGAAGCCUAGGGGCACGAACCGGAUUAGAUACCCGGGUAGUCCUAGGUGUAAACGCUGUGGACUUGGUGUCGGGACUCUCAGCGAGUUCUCGGUGCCGGAGUGAAGAUGUUAAGUCCACUGCCUGGGGAGUACGGUCGCAAGGCUGAAACUUAAAGGAAUUGGCGGGGGAGCACCGCAACGAGAGGAGCGUGCGGUUUAAUUGGAUUCAACGCCGGAA
RNAcentral lists this ribosomal RNA (914 nucleotides) under uncultured archaeon. RNAcentral describes it as "bacterial SSU rRNA". It matches the Rfam family "Archaeal small subunit ribosomal RNA", at positions 1 to 923 of the family's 1478-position model. The record is from RNAcentral.